UACGUAGGGUGCAAGCGUUGUCCGGAAUUAUUGGGCGUAAAGAGCUCGUAGGCGGUCUGUCGCGUCUGCUGUGAAAACUCGGGGCUUAACCCCGGGCCUGCGGUGGGUACGGGCAGACUAGAGUGAUGUAGGGGAGACUGGAAUUCCUGGUGUAGCGGUGAAAUGCGCAGAUAUCAGGAGGAACACCGGUGGCGAAGGCGGGUCUCUGGGCCGUAACUGACGCUGAGGAGCGAAAGCGUGGGGAGCGAACAGG
RNAcentral lists this ribosomal RNA (253 nucleotides) under uncultured bacterium. Its description in RNAcentral is "partial 16S ribosomal RNA". It matches the Rfam family "Bacterial small subunit ribosomal RNA", at positions 524 to 776 of the family's 1533-position model. The record is from RNAcentral.